This 243-nucleotide ribosomal RNA is filed under the name uncultured bacterium. RNAcentral's name for it is "partial 16S ribosomal RNA". It matches the Rfam family "Bacterial small subunit ribosomal RNA", at positions 529 to 772 of the family's 1533-position model. The record is from RNAcentral.
AUGUCGCCAGCGUUAUCCGGAUUUAUUUGUCGUAAAGCGCGUCUAUGUGUUUUGGUCAGUCUGAUGUGGAAAUGCGGGGCUCAACUCCGUAUUGCGUUGGAAACUGCCAAACUAGAGUACUGGAGAGGUGGGCGGAACUACAAGUGUAGAGGUGAAAUUCGUAGAUAUUUGUAGGAAUGCCGAUAGAGAAGUCAGCUCACUGGACAGAUACUGACACUGAAGCGCGAAAGCAUGGGGAGCAAA